This 110-nucleotide microRNA precursor is filed under the name Marmota monax (woodchuck). Lineage: Eukaryota; Metazoa; Chordata; Mammalia; Rodentia; Sciuridae. The record is from RNAcentral.
AUACAAAUCACCUGGGGAUCUCAUCUUGUUGAAAUGCCAAUUCAAAUUCAGUAGGUCUGGGGCAGGGCCUAAGAAUUUGCAUUUCUAGCUAAUUCCCAGGUGAUGCUAAG